RNAcentral lists this ribosomal RNA (440 nucleotides) under uncultured bacterium. Its description in RNAcentral is "partial 16S ribosomal RNA". It matches the Rfam family "Bacterial small subunit ribosomal RNA", at positions 338 to 795 of the family's 1533-position model. The record is from RNAcentral.
CCUACGGGUGGCAGCAGUAGGGAAUAUUGCUCAAUGGGCGAAACCCUGAACCAGCAACGCCGCGUGGAGGAUGAAGGUUUUCGGAUUGUAAACUCCUUUUGGUAGAGAAGAUAAUGACGGUAUCUAACGAAUAAGCACCGGCUAACCCCGUGCCAGCAGCCGCGGUAAUACGGAGGGUGCAAGCGUUACUCGGAAUCACUGGGCGUAAAGAGCGCGUAGGCGGGAUAGCAAGUCAGAUGUGAAAUCCUAGGGCUUAACCCUAGAACUGCAUUUGAAACUGUUAGUCUCGAGUAUGGGAGAGGUAGGUGGAAUUCUUGGUGUAGCGGUAAAAUCCGUAGAGAUCACGAGGAAUACUCAUUGCGAAGGCGACCUGCUAGAUCCUAACUGACGCUGAUGCGCGAAAGCGUGGGGAGCAAACAGGAUUAGAUACCCGGGUAGUC